CCUACGGGAGGCAGCAGUGGGGAAUAUUGGGCAAUGGAGGGAACCCUGAUCCAGCGACGCCGCGUGAGUGAAGAAGUAUUUCGGUAUGUAAAGCUCUGUCAGCAGGGAAGAAAGAAAUGACGGUACCUGACCAAGAAGCCCCGGCUAACUACGUGCCAGCAGCCGCGGUAAUACGUAGGGGGCAAGCGUUAUCCGGAAUUACUGGGUGUAAAGGGAGCGUAGACGGUUAAGUAAGUCUGGAGUGAAAGGCCGGGGCCCAACCCCGGGACUGCUCUGGAAACUAUUGAACUUGAGUGCAGGGGAGGUAAGCGGAAUUCCUAGUGUAGCGGUGAAAUGCGUAGAUAUUAGGAGGAACACCAGUGGCGAAGGCGGCUUACUGGACUGUAACUGACGUUGAGGCUCGAAAGCGUGGGGAGCAAACAGGAUUAGAUACCCUUGUAGUC
RNAcentral lists this ribosomal RNA (443 nucleotides) under uncultured bacterium. RNAcentral's name for it is "partial 16S ribosomal RNA". It matches the Rfam family "Bacterial small subunit ribosomal RNA", at positions 338 to 795 of the family's 1533-position model. The record is from RNAcentral.